UACACACAAUUUUAAGCUAUUGCAUUGAU
Molecule: small RNA, 29 nt
Filed under: Bombyx mori (domestic silkworm)
Lineage: Eukaryota; Metazoa; Arthropoda; Insecta; Lepidoptera; Bombycidae
Description: ovarian small RNA-20179
Source: RNAcentral